Coffea arabica (coffee) is the source of this 909-nucleotide non-coding RNA. Lineage: Eukaryota; Viridiplantae; Streptophyta; Magnoliopsida; Gentianales; Rubiaceae. The record is from RefSeq and is a predicted model, not a curated record.
CGCAAAGAGGCCCCUGAUAUAGCCUGGCUAGGUCACUCCAAACCAAACAAACUCUUCCUUUCUCUUUCCCUUUCUUUCUCUCUCAAUCUCUGUUCAUCCGGCUCUUUCUCAUUACUAGUCCUCCAGAAGAAACGUUACCAAAAUCAUAUGGGUUUGGAGAAAUUUGACCGAGCUGGAGCGGUAACAUGCCCGGAAUAUUUGUAAUCAAGAAGCAGGUUAUAAUUUCUGAUGAGCACAUCUCUUGUGGCCAUAGUUAAUGUAUUUCCUUUGUGAGUUGGUAUUUUCUUCCCCCUCACUUCCUGACCGAGAGAGCAGCAAAUUUUAACAUAACGAAGUUCUUGAUAUGGGCUAUCAACAUAUUCUAUUUUCAUCUUGAUAAUUUCUUCAUUCACUCAAGACAUAUUCGUCCAAAUUGGCUACCAAUUACAGGAGCAUUUUUUUUUUGGCAAGGACAAGUAGAAACCAGCUGCGAAUUCAACAGGCUGGAAGCUGGAUAUGGAUAGGAAGAGAGUUUGUGUCCACUACUAAGCUCCUAUAUCAGGCAUAGCUCCUAAAAUCCAGCGGAUUUUGCCCAGAAGGUAAAGAUUCUGAUCAUUGGAGGAAGGUGGGGUCGAUGCUUGCUAGAUUUGGAAAUGCUGGACCAGCCAUGUGAGGCCUCGGUGGAAAGGGAGGAUGUCAUUUUGCUAUUUGGAUGAAACCAUGAACCAGAUUAUUCGAUACUCGUUCGAAUUAAACUCACUGUAACGAGAGUUCGUUCGAACUUGGUUCGCUGAUUAGUCAAGUCACACUCAUUGUAAUAAGAACUCGUUCGAACUUGAUUCGCUGAUUAGUCAAGUCAAAUUUGAAUAACGUUUUUAUUCCUUAAUAUUCAAGUUCAAUAAAAUAUUAGUUCAAACUUGAUUUGACAAA